RNAcentral lists this ribosomal RNA (575 nucleotides) under fungal endophyte. RNAcentral describes it as "eukaryotic LSU rRNA". The stretch from base 223 to 376 matches the Rfam family "5.8S ribosomal RNA". Lineage: Eukaryota; Fungi. The record is from RNAcentral.
GUAACAAGGUCUCCGUAGGUGAACCUGCGGAGGGAUCAUUACAAUACGUUGCGCAUCGCCGGGGUCCGCCCACGGCGGUGUGGCGCGGUUACUUCAACCCUUUGUGAACCACAACUCUGUUGCUUCGGGGGCGACCCCGCCGUUUCGGCGGUGGUGCCCCCGGUGGCCUACCAUUAAACUCUGCAUCUCUUUGCGUCGGAGUCUUGAAUAGAAUUCAAACAAAACUUUCAACAACGGAUCUCUUGGUUCUGGCAUCGAUGAAGAACGCAGCGAAAUGCGAUAAGUAAUGUGAAUUGCAGAAUUCAGUGAAUCAUCGAAUCUUUGAACGCACAUUGCGCCCCGUGGUAUUCCGCGGGGCAUGCCUGUUCGAGCGUCAUUUCACCACUCAAGCCUGGCUUGGUAUUGGGCGCCGCGGUCGCUAGACCGCGCGCCUUAAAGUCUCCGGCUGAGCAGUCCGUCUCCGAGCGUUGUGACACAUGUCGCUAGGGAGUACGGGUCUGCCGCGGCCGUUAAAUCUUUUAACAGGUUGACCUCGGAUCAGGUAGGGAUACCCGCUGAACUUAAGCAUAUCAAUA